Molecule: signal recognition particle RNA, 97 nt
Filed under: Planctomycetia bacterium
Lineage: Bacteria; Pseudomonadati; Planctomycetota; Planctomycetia
Description: signal recognition particle sRNA small type
Rfam family: Bacterial small signal recognition particle RNA
About the family: The signal recognition particle (SRP) is a universally conserved ribonucleoprotein involved in the co-translational targeting of proteins to membranes. Archaeal SRP consists of a 7S RNA and homologues of the eukaryotic SRP19 and SRP54 proteins.
Source: RNAcentral
GGAGGGGACCCACGCAAUGGGGCUUUGUGAACCUGGUCAGGCCGGAAGGAGCAGCCAUAAACAUCCGCUCUUUGUGCGUUGGAUCAGCCUCUCCCGU